AAAAAGACAAACCCUAGUUUUUCGUGUCCAACUUUAACUGUCCGUUUUAUAAGAAAUUUUUUUAUAAUUCGUAUUUUCAUUGUUGUUAGAUGACAAAACAUGAUUAAUAUUUUAUGCGUGACUUGUCUUUUUAAUUAUUUUUAUAUUUUUUUUUUAAAUAAGACGGACGGUCAAACGUAGACACGGAAAUCAGGUUUGUCUUUGUC
Non-coding RNA from Oryza glaberrima (African rice), 206 nucleotides. Lineage: Eukaryota; Viridiplantae; Streptophyta; Magnoliopsida; Poales; Poaceae. The record is from Rfam.